Molecule: ribosomal RNA, 484 nt
Filed under: uncultured bacterium
Lineage: Bacteria
Description: partial 16S ribosomal RNA
Rfam family: Bacterial small subunit ribosomal RNA
Source: RNAcentral
AUUGAACGCUGGCGGCAUGCUUUACACAUGCAAGUCGAACGGUAACAGGGUGCUUGCACCGCUGACGAGUGGCGAACGGGUGAGUAAUGCAUCGGAAUGUACCGUGUAAUGGGGGAUAGCUCGGCGAAAGCCGGAUUAAUACCGCAUACGCCCUGAGGGGGAAAGUGGGGGACCGAAAGGCCUCACGUUAUACGAGCAGCCGAUGUCUGAUUAGCUAGUUGGUGAGGUAAAGGCUCACCAAGGCGUCGAUCAGUAGCGGGUCUGAGAGUAUGAUCCGCCACACUGGGACUGAGACACGGCCCAGACUCCUACGGGAGGCAGCAGUGGGGAAUUUUGGACAAUGGGCGCAAGCCUGAUCCAGCCAUGCCGCGUGUCUGAAGAAGGCCUUCGGGUUGUAAAGGACUUUUGUCCGGGAGCAAAUCCUAGUGGUUAAUAACCGCUGGGUCUGAGAGUACCGGAAGAAUAAGCACCGGCUAACUACGUG